Molecule: microRNA precursor, 99 nt
Filed under: Carica papaya (papaya)
Lineage: Eukaryota; Viridiplantae; Streptophyta; Magnoliopsida; Brassicales; Caricaceae
Description: miR5211 stem-loop (cpa-MIR5211)
Source: miRBase by way of RNAcentral
UGUCGCAGGAGCGAUGGCACCGGUUGGGUUAAUUGCUUUCUGUCUUGAUAAACAUGAAGCUAAACCUGCAGUCUAGUGGUGCCGUCGCACUGUGACAAG